AGUGAACGCUGGCGGUAGGCCUAACACAUGCAAGUCGAACGGCAGCACAGUAAGAGCUUGCUCUUACGGGUGGCGAGUGGCGGACGGGUGAGGAAUACAUCGGAAUCUACUUUUUCGUGGGGGAUAACGUAGGGAAACUUACGCUAAUACCGCAUACGACCUACGGGGGAAAGCAGGGGAUCUUCGGACCUGGCGCGAAUGAAUGAGCCGAUGUCGGAUUAGCUAGUGGGCGGGGUAAAGACCCACCAAGGCGACGAUCCGUAGCCGGUCUGGGUGGCUGGUCGCCGGCACUGGAACUUAGACACCCACCUUGCUCCUACGGGACGGCGCAGUGUGCAAUGUUGGACAAUGGUCGCAAACCUUGUCCAACCGUACCGCGUGUGUUGAAGAAGCCUUCCGGUUGUAAAGCCCGUUUGUUGGUAAAAAAAAGCUGCCGGUUGAUACCCCGCUUUUCUGACGGUACCCAAUGAAUAAGCACCGGCUAACUUCGUG
RNAcentral lists this ribosomal RNA (492 nucleotides) under uncultured bacterium. RNAcentral describes it as "partial 16S ribosomal RNA". It matches the Rfam family "Bacterial small subunit ribosomal RNA", at positions 29 to 507 of the family's 1533-position model. The record is from RNAcentral.